Molecule: non-coding RNA, 246 nt
Organism: Vicia faba (fava bean)
Lineage: Eukaryota; Viridiplantae; Streptophyta; Magnoliopsida; Fabales; Fabaceae
Source: the annotation of a GenBank genome assembly
AUGGACGGAACCGCGACUGAAGCAAGACGGAUGUUGAGACGGAGGUGUGAACGAAGAAGAAGAAAGAGCGAAUUCCGGAUGACGGAUAAGGAAGUCGCUCAGCCACAGAAGAGGAUGAUCAGCGGUGACGGAAUAGAGAAGGACUUCGUGGUUGAGACGACGGCGACGGACGGAAAGGUUUGGUUUGAAUUAGGUGCCGCUGUGUUUUGGAGAAGAAGAGAGGAAGUAAAGCUCUGUUUCACGUGA